Molecule: microRNA, 23 nt
Filed under: Ananas comosus (pineapple)
Lineage: Eukaryota; Viridiplantae; Streptophyta; Magnoliopsida; Poales; Bromeliaceae
Description: microRNA s1216_c023b
Source: RNAcentral
GCCAAAAGGCCGAGAAAGGUAUU